Molecule: ribosomal RNA, 465 nt
Filed under: uncultured bacterium
Lineage: Bacteria
Description: partial 16S ribosomal RNA
Rfam family: Bacterial small subunit ribosomal RNA
Source: RNAcentral
GACGAACGCUGGCGGCGUGCUUAACACAUGCAAGUCGUACGGUAAGGCCCUUUCGGGGGUACACGAGUGGCGAACGGGUGAGUAACACGUGAGUAACCUGCCCACAACUUUGGGAUAACGCUAGGAAACUGGUGCUAAUACUGGAUAUGUUCUCCUGCUGCAUGGUGGGGGUUGGAAAGCUCCGGCGGUUGUGGAUGGACUCGCGGCCUAUCAGCUUGUUGGUGGGGUAGUGGCCUACCAAGGCGGCGACGGGUAGCCGGCCUGAGAGGGUGACCGGCCACAUUGGGACUGAGAUACGGCCCAGACUCCUACGGGAGGCAGCAGUGGGGAAUAUUGCACAAUGGGCGCAAGCCUGAUGCAGCAACGCCGCGUGCGGGAUGACGGCCUUCGGGUUGUAAACCGCGUUCAGCAGGGACGAAGCUUUUUGUGACGGUACCUGCAGAAGAAGCACCGGCUAACUACGUG